RNAcentral lists this ribosomal RNA (3217 nucleotides) under Valsaria spartii. Its description in RNAcentral is "SSU rRNA". The stretch from base 1 to 1232 matches the Rfam family "Eukaryotic small subunit ribosomal RNA". The record is from RNAcentral. Lineage: Eukaryota; Fungi; Ascomycota; Dothideomycetes; Valsariales; Valsariaceae.
CCUGCCAGUAGUCAUAUGCUUGUCUCAAAGAUUAAGCCAUGCAUGUCUAAGUAUAAGCAAUCUAUACUGUGCAACUGCGAAUGGCUCAUUAAAUCAGUUAUCGUUUAUUUGAUAUGUACCUUACUACAUGGAUAACCGUGGUAAUUCUAGAGCUAAUACAUGCGAAAAGCCCCGACUUCGGGAGGGGCGUAUUUAUUAGAUAAAAAACCAAUGCCCUUCGGGGCUCCUUGGUGAUUCAGAAUAACUAAACGAAUCGCAUGGCCUUGCGCCGGCGAUGGUUCAUUCAAAUUUCUGCCCUAUCAACUUUCGAUGGUAGGAUAGUGGCCUACCAUGGUAUCAACGGGUAACGGGGAAUUAGGGUUCUAUUCCGGAGAGGGAGCCUGAGAAACGGCUACCACAUCCAAGGAAGGCAGCAGGCGCGCAAAUUACCCAAUCCCGACACGGGGAGGUAGUGACAAUAAAUACUGAUACAGGGCUCUUUUGGGUCUUGUAAUUGGAAUGAGUACAAUUUAAAUCCCUUAACGAGGAACAAUUAGAGGGCAAGUCUGGUGCCAGCAGCCGCGGUAAUUCCAGCUCUAAUAGCGUAUAUUAAAUUUGUUGCAGUUAAAAAGCUCGUAGUUGAAACUUGGGCCUGGCUGGCCGGUCCGCCUCACCGCGUGCACUGGUCCGGCCGGGCCUUUCCUCCUGGCGAACCGCAUGCCCUUCACUGGGUGUGCCGGGGAACCAGGACUUUUACUUUGAAAAAAUUAGAGUGUUCAAAGCAGGCCUUUGCUCGAAUACAUUAGCAUGGAAUAAUAGAAUAGGACGUGCGAUCCUAUUUUGUUGGUUUCUAGGACCGCCGUAAUGAUUAAUAGGGACAGUCGGGGGCAUCAGUAUUCAAUCGUCAGAGGUGAAAUUCUUGGAUCGAUUGAAGACUAACUACUGCGAAAGCAUUUGCCAAGGAUGUUUUCAUUAAUCAGUGAACGAAAGUUAGGGGAUCGAAGACGAUCAGAUACCGUCGUAGUCUUAACCGUAAACUAUGCCGACUAGGGAUCGGGCGAUGUUACUAUUUUGACUCGCUCGGCACCUUAAGAGAAAUCAAAGUUUUUGGGUUCUGGGGGGAGUAUGGUCGCAAGGCUGAAACUUAAAGAAAUUGACGGAAGGGCACCACCAGGCGUAAACGCAGUUAACUCUGCGCCUGACAGCGGCCCGAAAGGGUGGGUGGUGUCCGGGGCUUGAGGGCCCGAACCAAACGCUAGUCCGCUUCGGCGGGCGACAUGCUCAAACUGCGGGGACCUCCUAAAGCCUCUUGCUACCGCGCUCCUGCCGAAAGGUAGGCUGCUGCACCAGGGUAACGACCUCGGGUAUGGUAAUAACGCAAGGGAUGUAACAAUGGACAAUCCGCAUCCAAGCCCCUAACGCAUGUUAAUGCCAAGGGGAAGGUUCAGAGACUAAAUGGGCAUGGGUCUAUCAAUUGGUCAGAGGGGUCUGGCCCUGUUCUGUGGGGGUUGUGUGUAAAUAGUUGUAAAGUCGUAGCAGAAGAAAAUGAGUGUUUAUACCCUCUAGCCCUCCGGCGUUUUUAUGACAAACGGGGGUUCACCAUCUUUCUUUCGGCAGCGGCGAUACAGUAACACACAGCUCAUAACGGCAAUUCCACCCUACGGCAGCUACCACCUCGGUUGAGCUCUGGAGCACCCGCCGUAGCAAUGUUAGGCAAUACACAGACGGGCAACCAGCCUACCUCGGAAACAUCUACACUGAAGCUCCAGCCCCCCCAAUCGGGGGUGCAGGAGCUGCUAGCGCCUCUCAGAGACCUUAUGUCGACGAUAAAUCCCCGCGAGCGCCUCGCUGUUCAUCAGUUCUGGCGCGUAACGAGGGCCGUCCUCCAAAGGCUCGAGUCCGUGCAGCCUAACCCCCCGGCGCCCGAUCCCGCAAGUAGUAGGCCUAGAAGCCACCACGGUUCGCGUCCAGGAACAUCCUCCAGCAUCACCGACAUUCGGAGAGGCAUCGACGAGGCCCUGGCGCAGACUGGUGCGGUGCUAGAGCCCUCUGCGAGUAGGACGGUACAAGCUGUGUGGGAUUUACCGGCUGCUUGGGUACGAGGGCAGUUAGAGGCUAGGGUGAGCCAAAUCGGCUCUCUUGGCUGCUGGCUGUCAGCGAACGCCCCGGCUCACGAGAAUGGCUAUACCAAAAUCAACUGGCGAAACACCCUCUAUCCUCCCGGGCACACGCGGCACGGAGAGGUAAUUGGGGUGGUGGUGUUCUUACACCAACUCGCGGUCGUCGCCGGUGGACGGGGCUAUCAGCUCCUUAAUACGUCUACCAACGGGGCCUGCGAGGUGAGCCAUCUCUGUCACCAGGGUCGCUGCUUCAAUCCCGAUCACCUUAUCGUCGAGUUAAAGGAGGUCAACAAGGAUAGGAUGCGGUGUGUUGGAGGUCUUAUUGUACGGUGUAGAUGCUGUAAUACAACAUACCACCCGUGUCCACAUCGGGGGGUCGGUCAGAGGCGCGAAUGUAUCUUACCUUCAAAGUUAAUAGAGGGAGGGCAAUAUCAUCAAGCAGGCGGUUAAGCCGCCUAAUAUGAGUGCUCUUCUGUGAUAUAUUCGCGUGUCUGCCUGCUGUAUUACUAACCAUGAUAGGCUUAAGAUAUAGUCCGGUAGUAGAUGAAAUUCUACUAGAUAUUUUAUAAAACGGGAGCCUGCGGCUUAAUUUGACUCAACACGGGGAAACUCACCAGGUCCAGACACAAUAAGGAUUGACAGAUUGAGAGCUCUUUCUUGAUUUUGUGGGUGGUGGUGCAUGGCCGUUCUUAGUUGGUGGAGUGAUUUGUCUGCUUAAUUGCGAUAACGAACGAGACCUUCUUCUACUAAAUAGCCCGGCUAGCUUUGGCUGGUCGCCGGCUUCUUAGAGAGACUAUCGGCUCAAGCCGAUGGAAGUUGGAGGCAAUAACAGGUCUGUGAUGCCCUUAGAUGUUCUGGGCCGCACGCGCGCUACACUGACAGAGCCAACGAGUUCAUCACCUUGGCCGGAAGGUCUGGGUAAUCUUGUUAAACUCUGUCGUGCUGGGGAUAGAGCAUUGCAAUUAUUGCUCUUCAACGAGGAAUGCCUAGUAAGCGCACGUCAUCAGCGUGCGUUGACUACGUCCCUGCCCUUUGUACACACCGCCCGUCGCUACUACCGAUUGAAUGGCUUAGUGAGGCCUUCGGACUGGCCCAAGGAGGUCGGCAACGACCACCUA